CCUACGGGUGGCAGCAGUCGAGAAUCAUUCACAAUGGGGGAAACCCUGAUGGUGCGACGCCGCGUGGGGGAAUGAAGGUCUUCGGAUUGUAAACCCCUGUCAUGUGGGAGCAAAUUAAAAAGAUAGUACCACAAGAGGAAGAGACGGCUAACUCUGUGCCAGGAGCCGCGGUAAUACAGCGGUCUCAAGCGUUGUUCGGAAUCACUGGGCGUAAAGCGUGCGGAGGCUGGUUCGUGAGUCGUGUGUGAAAGGCGAGGGGUCAACCCGCGGACGGCAGAUGAUACUGGGAGACUAGAGUAAGGGAGGGGGAGACGGGAUGCGUGGUGGUGCAGUGAAAUGCGUAGAUAACGAGAAGAAC
Molecule: ribosomal RNA, 358 nt
Filed under: uncultured bacterium
Lineage: Bacteria
Description: partial 16S ribosomal RNA
Rfam family: Bacterial small subunit ribosomal RNA
Source: RNAcentral